RNAcentral lists this transfer RNA (73 nucleotides) under Felis catus (domestic cat). It matches the Rfam family "tRNA". From Rfam's summary of the family: Transfer RNA (tRNA) molecules are approximately 80 nucleotides in length. Their secondary structure includes four short double-helical elements and three loops (D, anti-codon, and T loops). Further hydrogen bonds mediate the characteristic L-shaped molecular structure. tRNAs have two regions of fundamental functional importance: the anti-codon, which is responsible for specific mRNA codon recognition, and the 3' end, to which the tRNAs corresponding amino acid is attached (by aminoacyl-tRNA synthetases). tRNAs cope with the degeneracy of the genetic code in two manners: having more than one tRNA (with a specific anti-codon) for a particular amino acid; and 'wobble' base-pairing, i.e. permitting non-standard base-pairing at the 3rd anti-codon position. Lineage: Eukaryota; Metazoa; Chordata; Mammalia; Carnivora; Felidae. RNAcentral also lists the same sequence under 4 other names. The record is from Rfam by way of RNAcentral.
GCCCAGCUGGCUCCAUCACUGGGGCAUGAGACUCUUGAUCUCUGGGUUGUGGGUUCGAGCCCCAUGUUGGAUA